This 253-nucleotide ribosomal RNA is filed under the name uncultured bacterium. RNAcentral describes it as "partial 16S ribosomal RNA". It matches the Rfam family "Bacterial small subunit ribosomal RNA", at positions 524 to 776 of the family's 1533-position model. The record is from RNAcentral.
UACGAAGGGGGCUAGCGUUGUUCGGAAUUACUGGGCGUAAAGGGCGCGUCGGCUGUGCUGUAAGUCAGGCGUGAAAGCCCCGGGCUCAACCUGGGAAUUGCGCUUGAUACUGCGGCGCUGGAAGGUGGGAGAGGAUGGCGGAAUUCCCAGUGUAGAGGUGAAAUUCGUAGAUAUUGGGAAGAACACCGGUGGCGAAGGCGGCCAUCUGGCCCAUUUUUGACGCUGAGGCGCGAAAGCGUGGGGAGCAAACAGG